UUGAGCCUACGGGGGGCAGCAGUGAGGAAUAUUGGUCAAUGGGCUUACGCCUGAACCAGCCAAGUCGCGUGAGGGAAGACUGCCCUAUGGGUUGUAAACCUCUUUUGUCAGGGAGCAACGCCGGCUACGUGUAGCGUUAUCGAGAGUACCUGAAGAAAAAGCAUCGGCUAACUCCGUGCCAGCAGCCGCGGUAAUACGGAGGAUGCGAGCGUUAUCCGGAUUUAUUGGGUUUAAAGGGUGCGUAGGCGGAAUGCCAAGUCAGCGGUAAAAUCGCGGGGCUCAACCUCGCUCCGCCGUUGAAACUG
Molecule: ribosomal RNA, 305 nt
Filed under: uncultured bacterium
Lineage: Bacteria
Description: bacterial SSU rRNA
Rfam family: Bacterial small subunit ribosomal RNA
Source: RNAcentral